UACGUAGGGUCCAAGCGUUAUCCGGAAUCACUGGGCGUAAAGCGUGCGUAGGUGGUAAUUCACGUGCAAUGCGAAAUCGUGUGGCUCAACCAUACGACGGUAGUGCAUACGGGAUUACUAGAGGACAUGAGAGGCAAGUGGAAUUACUGGUGUAGCAGUGAAAUGCGUAGAUAUCAGUAGGAACACCAAUGGCGAAGGCAGCUUGCUGGCAUGUAUCUGACGCUAAGGCACGAAAGCGUGGGGAGCGAACAGG
RNAcentral lists this ribosomal RNA (253 nucleotides) under uncultured bacterium. Its description in RNAcentral is "partial 16S ribosomal RNA". It matches the Rfam family "Bacterial small subunit ribosomal RNA", at positions 524 to 776 of the family's 1533-position model. The record is from RNAcentral.